AGUUGGUGGAGUGAUUUGUCUGGUUAAUUCCGUUAACGAACGAGACCUCAGCCUGCUAACUAGUGGUGUUUAUCCUUUGUUCGCCGCUCGUUCUUUUUGCAGUCGGUGACGUUCCCUCCGGGUUCGAUUGCCGCUCAUUUAGUUUCGGGUUGAACAUUUCGGGAUAGGAGAGAGCUACGACGCCUGCGGCCUCUAUGAGGUUUGCUUGUGUUGUGCUCCAUUCGACUUCUUAGAGGGACUAUCCGUUUAUUAGCGGAUGGAAGUUUGAGGCAAUAACAGGU
This 281-nucleotide ribosomal RNA is filed under the name uncultured eukaryote. Its description in RNAcentral is "partial small subunit ribosomal RNA". It matches the Rfam family "Eukaryotic small subunit ribosomal RNA", at positions 1296 to 1461 of the family's 1831-position model. The record is from RNAcentral.